GUCCACGCCCUAAACGAUGCCAGCUCGCUGCCUGGGCCCGUUCCGGGCCUGGGUGGCUCAGUUCACACGGUAAGCUGGCCGCCUGGGGAGUACGGUCGCAAGACUAAAACUCAAAGGAAUUGACGGGGGCCCGCACAAGCAGCGGAGCGUGUGGUUUAAUUCGACGCAACGCGAAUCACCUUACCCAGGCUUGACAUGCCACUGCAAGCCCGCGAAAGCGGGUCGCCUUCGAGGGUGUGGCGCAGGUGCUGCAUGGUUGUCGU
Molecule: ribosomal RNA, 263 nt
Filed under: uncultured bacterium
Lineage: Bacteria
Description: partial 16S ribosomal RNA
Rfam family: Bacterial small subunit ribosomal RNA
Source: RNAcentral